This 2011-nucleotide long non-coding RNA is filed under the name Populus trichocarpa (black cottonwood). RNAcentral describes it as "long non-coding RNA (PTRI_LNC002702)". The record is from RNAcentral. Lineage: Eukaryota; Viridiplantae; Streptophyta; Magnoliopsida; Malpighiales; Salicaceae.
CAAAAUCAAAAAUCCCAAAAUGCUAUUAGAUGAAGCAGAACAGAUUUGAAAUUUAGACCAUAAGAAAAAAGGCCAAACAAAAACACCGCAUUUGAUAUAACCAGAGCAAUCUCUCUAGCAGCAUCAUUUUUUCUUGGUGCAAGGAAUGAGAAAUCACUUCAGCAGUCUUGGCCUCACCCUGGAGAUAAGUGUUUCAUGGAUUAUCCAAGUCAGGACUUUCUCAUUGUAUUUUGGACCAAGAGCUCGAUCUGCCACAGAACAAGUAAAGAACCAAAGCUCUAUCUUGACCUGUUGUGAAGAUGCAUUCAAGGAGUUAGUAGGCAAGAAAGCUGCUCCCUCCUAAUGAAAAUCGAGAUGAAUUAUUGAUAGACAAGGGGAUCAUUCAAAACAGGAGCAGUAGCCAAUUUAAAGGAAAUGUAAUUUAAUAACCAGCCUGCAACACUUGAAGCAUUUGGAGAUGGAAAUUCCAGAUAGAGUUCUGGAUAUUUUCACUAAUUAUUCCAAUGAAUAACAUCAAACAAUGGAAAUACAUGCCACAAAGACAACCUGAACAAAUAGUUUCAAUCUUCAAGUGAAGAAUGUAUUAAAUUGCUAUGAUGCACAAAAAUAUUUGUAGAAUCUGCAAGCCUUAAUGAUUUCCAUGGAAUGAACACACCUCAUUGACUUGUUGGAUAAUAAGAGUCACAACAAUAUUAGUAAAAUCGCAGAAAAAUCUAUGUGAUUUCCAUGAAUUGAAUGCAUUUCAUAAACUAUUAGACGAAAUAGCAAAUAUUCUCAGAAUUUCAAGGUCACAAAUAUAAUUGUUAAAAGUACUCAAAAUUAUUUUUCAAUUUUCAAUUUAAUAUGAUGAUGUUCCAAUAUCCUAUACUUUAUUCAAGGGGAAUAAGCCAAUCCUAGCAAGGAACAAAGUGGCUCUAAUCCUUAAAAGGUAUUUACUUCCUAAGCGAUAUAUAACAACUAUAGUUAAGAAAUGGAACGAAAGUACAUAUACAACAUAUGCAAAUCAUAUUGGAAAAGUACGUAUGCAAAUCUAUAAGAGACAGUGAAGUAAGCAAAACAUAACCAAGUAGCGGAUCUAUUCAAUGCGAUUUCUAAAUCCAAGGAACGAAAGAACAACAUCAAGUUACAGGCUCCACUGCGUAAUACGGUGCCAUGACAUAAAAAAGCAAAAACAAUGACAGAAAUAGAACUACAAUUCAUUAAGGAAAAAAAAAAAAUAUCACAACCUUAUAGUCAGUGGCAAGCAAUUGGACUAGCAGAACUAAUAGAAAUUAGAAGACAAUUCAACAUCACAAUAGAACUGUUUGAUGUUAAUCGCUUCUUUCACAACCAAAACCAACCGAGAUUGAAUACGAAAGAAAGGGUCAGGCAAGCCCAACCCAAAAUUACAUAAUGAUCAAGCAUGAAGUGAUGAUACUCUUAUAAAUUCAACAGUACUAGAAAUCUCAACAAAAGCAGAAGGGAUUUCCAAGGUUUCUUGAGCAAUGCAAAAGAAAAUGGUACUUAACAGAUAAUAAAUUGUCAAUCAAGAAGCAAACAAAUUACUUUGCCAAACAAACGCAAAAAAAUGAACCAUACAUGGCUUACUCCAUCCUAUCUAAAAAAUCAUAUCAAACCAAUUUUUAGUUUCACUCUAUAAAUGCUUAAAUAAGGAAAAAUCUACACCAAAAUUUCCAUUAUUUUAGAGGAUGAACGAUUUUGUACAUUAUCAAAAGUGAAGUUAAGUUCAACAUCAUAUGACAACCAUACUUGGAAGUUGGAACCUAGUGAGAUUAAUUACUUAAUUUCAACAAAAAAUUGAGAUAAUUAGUUAAUGGUCAGAAUGAUUGUACCUUUUGUAGGUUCGAUCGAUCUACCUCUGCCUCUUGUUCUUGCUUCAAAGCCGAAGAUGAAGAGAGAAAAGCGGUGGAGGGGUUUUAGGUGGGAUUUAUGGCUUUGUUUUUCUUCUUCAAGACAAGCUUGCGUUAUUAAGUAUUAACUGUCCCUCAUUUUUUUUUCUUCUAAAUAUCGG